This 546-nucleotide ribosomal RNA is filed under the name uncultured bacterium. Its description in RNAcentral is "partial 16S ribosomal RNA". It matches the Rfam family "Bacterial small subunit ribosomal RNA", at positions 355 to 889 of the family's 1533-position model. The record is from RNAcentral.
UGGGGAAUUUUGGACAAUGGGCGAAAGCCUGAUCCAGCAAUGCCGCGUGUGUGAAGAAGGCCUUCGGGUUGUAAAGCACUUUUGUCCGGAAAGAAAUCCUUGGCUCUAAUACAGUCGGGGGAUGACGGUACCGGAAGAAUAAGCACCGGCUAACUACGUGCCAGCAGCCGCGGUAAUACGUAGGGUGUAAGCGUUAAUCGGAAUUACUGGGCGUAAAGCGUGCGCAGGCGGUUUGCUAAGACCGAUGUGAAAUCCCCGGGCUCAACCUGGGAACUGCAUUGGUGACUGGCAGGCUAGAGUAUGGCAGAGGGGGGUAGAAUUCCACGUGUAGCAGUGAAAUGCGUAGAGAUGUGGAGGAAUACCGAUGGCGAAGGCAGCCCCCUGGGCCAAUACUGACGCUCAUGCACGAAAAGCGUGGGGGAGCAAAACAGGAUUAGAUACCCUGGUAGUCCACGCCCUAAAACGAUGUCAACUAGUUGUUGGGGAUUCAUUUCCUUAGUAACGUAGCUAACGCGUGAAGUUGACCGCCUGGGGGAGUACGGUCGC